This 253-nucleotide ribosomal RNA is filed under the name uncultured bacterium. Its description in RNAcentral is "partial 16S ribosomal RNA". It matches the Rfam family "Bacterial small subunit ribosomal RNA", at positions 524 to 776 of the family's 1533-position model. The record is from RNAcentral.
UACAGAGGUCCCAAGCGUUGUUCGGAUUCACUGGGCGUAAAGGGUGCGUAGGUGGUGAGGUAAGUCGGAUGUGAAAUCUCCGAGCUCAACUCGGAAAUUGCAUUGGAAACUACCUUGCUUGAGGGUUGGAGGGGGGACUGGAAUGCUUGGUGUAGCAGUGAAAUGCGUAGAUAUCAAGCGGAACACCAGUGGCGAAGGCGAGUCCCUGGACAACAACUGACGCUGAGGAGCGAAAGCGUGGGGAGCGAACAGG